CCUCACCCGAGGUCUCCCAGUCGCGAGCCCAGAGCCGAGAGAAAGCGCCCCAGAAUGGCCCCAGCUGAUUCCGGCCCCCAUCGGGACCCUCCAACGCGCACCGCUCCCCUCCCGAUGCCCGAGGGCCCUGAGCCCGCUGUGCCCGGGGAGCAACCCGGAAGAGGCCACGCUCACGCCGCUCAGGGCGGGCCUCUGCUGGGUCAAGGCUGCCAGGGCCAACCCCAGGGGGAAGCGGUGGGGAGCCACAGCAAGGGGCACAAAUCGUCCCGCGGGGCUUCGGCUCAGAAAUCGCCUCCUGUCCAGGAAAGCCAGUCAGAGAGGCUGCAGGCGGCCGGCGCUGAUUCCGCCGGGCCGAAAACGGUGCCCAGCCAUGUCUUCUCGGAGCUCUGGGACCCCUCAGAGGCCUGGAUGCAGGCCAACUACGAUCUGCUGUCCGCUUUUGAGGCCAUGACCUCCCAGGCAAACCCAGAAGCACUCUCCGCGCCAACGCUCCAGGAGGAAGCUGCUUUCCCUGGACGCAGAGUGAACGCUAAGAUGCCGGUGUACUCGGGCUCCAGGCCUGCCUGCCAGCUCCAGGUGCCGACGCUGCGCCAGCAGUGCCUCCGGGUGCCUAGGAACAAUCCGGACGCCCUCGGCGACGUGGAAGGGGUCCCCUACUCGGUUCUUGAACCCGUUCUGGAAGGGUGGACGCCCGAUCAGCCGUACCGCACAGAGAAAGACAAUGCCGCACUCGCUCGAGAGACAGAUGAAUUAUGGAGGAUUCAUUGCCUCCAGGACUUCAAGGAAGAAAAGCCACAGGAGCACGAGUCUUGGCGGGAGCUGUACCUGCGGCUUCGGGACGCCCGAGAGCAGCGGCUGCGAGUAGUGACCACGAAAAUCCGAUCCGCACGUGAAAACAAACCCAGCGGCCGACAGACAAAGAUGAUCUGUUUCAACUCUGUGGCCAAGACGCCUUAUGAUGCUUCCAGGAGGCAAGAGAAGUCUGCAGGAGCCGCUGACCCCGGAAAUGGAGAGAUGGAGCCAGCCCCCAAGCCCGCAGGAAGCAGCCAGGCUCCCUCCGGCCUCGGGGACGGCGACGGCGGCAGCGUGAGCGGCGGCGGCAGCAGCAACCGGCACGCGGCGCCCGCGGACAAAACCCGAAAACAGGCUGCCAAGAAAGUGGCCCCGCUGAUGGCCAAGGCAAUUCGAGACUACAAGGGAAGAUUCUCCCGACGAUAA
Long non-coding RNA from Homo sapiens (human), 1218 nucleotides. NCBI's taxonomy places the organism in Eukaryota, Metazoa, Chordata, Mammalia, Primates, Hominidae. The record is from Ensembl.